RNAcentral lists this ribosomal RNA (748 nucleotides) under Bacillus sp. PU-DOSMB7. RNAcentral's name for it is "bacterial SSU rRNA". It matches the Rfam family "Bacterial small subunit ribosomal RNA", at positions 70 to 795 of the family's 1533-position model. The record is from RNAcentral. Lineage: Bacteria; Bacillati; Bacillota; Bacilli; Caryophanales; Bacillaceae.
UAGUCGAUGUAUGCUCCCGGAUGUUAGCGGCGGACGGGUGAGUAACACGUGGGUAGUCGAUGUAACCUGCCUGUAAGACUGGGAUAACUCCGGGAAACCGGAGCUAAUACCGGAUAGUUCCUUGAACCGCAUGGUUCAAGGAUGAAAGACGGUUUCGGCUGUCACUUACAGAUGGACCCGCGGCGCAUUAGCUAGUUGGUGAGGUAACGGCUCACCAAGGCGACGAUGCGUAGCCGACCUGAGAGGGUGAUCGGCCACACUGGGACUGAGACACGGCCAGACUCCUACGGGAGGCAGCAGUAGGGAAUCUUCCGCAAUGGACGAAAGUCUGACGGAGCAACGCCGCGUGAGUGAUGAAGGUUUUCGGAUCGUAAAGCUCUGUUGUUAGGGAAGAACAAGUGCAAGAGUAACUGCCUGCACCUUGACGGUACCUAACCAGAAAGCCACGGCUAACUACGUGCCAGCAGCCGCGGUAAUACGUAGGUGGCAAGCGUUGUCCGGAAUUAUUGGGCGUAAAGGGCUCGCAGGCGGUUUCUUAAGUCUGAUGUGAAAGCCCCCGGCUCAACCGGGGAGGGUCAUUGGAAACUGGGAAACUUGAGUGCAGAAGAGGAGAGUGGAAUUCCACGUGUAGCGGUGAAAUGCGUAGAGAUGUGGAGGAACACCAGUGGCGAAGGCGACUCUCUGGUCUGUAACUGACGCUGAGGAGCGAAAGCGUGGGGAGCGAACAGGAUUAGAUACCCUGGUAGUC